ACCCACGAAAAAAAACCAGGGCUGGGGAAUCGGUCGAGCGAUUCCUCCUGAUGUUCGCCCCGCCACACUCGAAUCAGCCGCCGCCCUCGCCCUCGCAGCCGCCGCCGAUCCCCUUCCCCAUCUCCCUCCCUCAAACGCCGCCGCCCAUCGCUGACGUCCUACACAAGUCGGGCCACGCCCGCAGCGAGCGCCGCACCAACGUCUCCAUCAACAAGACGCGGCGUCUCCAUGAGUGUGCGGGGCUAGGGUUUCGGGCGCGGCGUCGCCCUGGUCGCCGGUGCGACUCUUCUCAGUCUUUUACCGCGGCUCCGCCUCCUGGAUGGCGCUCCUGUGGGCAUGGGUGCGCGCGCGCGUCGGCUUCCUCCUCUCUAUCAUGCAUAUUCGUGUGGCCUCGACCAAAAUGUCGGUGUUGUGCUCUUGUAGAACAGCAUUAAGAGGAUGUGAUAUCAGCUAGCUUAAUUUUUUCCAAACUCCUGCAAUGAAAGGAUGUGGUCCUGUCAAAAUCAGAUACUAAUGGCAGUUUUGCGAGUGCAUGCAUGUUCUUGUCAUUUCAACUAAUCUGGCUGGCCAUGUUUCCAUAGAAAGGUUCAAGCUUCUCAGCCAUACAAUAGGUGUCAGACACCCAGACUUUAUGAGCAUGUGAUUUGUUCAGGCAAGCAACGACAGGCACAGCUGAAACACAUCCUACAAAUUUUGCUUCUCUCAAUUGCUCGUUUCUCCUGCGCUGCUCAGAGCAUCCCGAUGGACAGUGGUGUUCAUGGCGAAUCGAUGGGGCUUGCCUUCCUCUACACAAUUGAGCGCAGGUUCCUGAUCAUAGUACAAACUUUUGAAAACAUUAUAUUUCCUGCUUGCACUUUACUUGAAGCAUAAUUAUACUACGUAUAUUUAGCGGAUACUAUUGUUUGAGUAAUAAAAAUUUGGAAGCUCAAUUAUAUACUUGCUUUAGAUUGUUGCCUUAAAAAACAAUAUAUCUUUUUUCACUAAAAUGCAGGGUUCAUUUUUCAUUCAGGAAUAAGGAUAGUACAGGGUGUAUCUGAAAAAUACAGGGUAGUGAAUGGUAUGCCGGCAACAGCCCGCAAGGACCAAAGCAACUCUAAUCUGGUUCGCUCGGUCUUUGAAUCAGCUGGUUAAAAACCAAGAGGUCGUUUGGGGUUUGUAGUAGUGUUAUUUACUAGAGGCUACUUCCCUUAGUAUUGUCGAUGUCCACUUGACCUUUCAUGGGAAUCGGAUGUAACCAUCCCGCAACCUGCGACCGUUCUAGCAACUGGCAAUUAUUCUGUAGCAAAGCACAUCAGUUUGUUCUAUUAUGUUAAUCGGAAAGUCUGUACAUAUGAGUUCAGACUGAGACUGAGAGAGUGAUAUAGAUUUGCUCGAGUUUACGAAAUAUAUUAUGUUGUUACUUGCAUCUUUCUUGGAUUUUUUCCCUUGCAUUUCUUCUUCUUUUCCCUACCAUCUGUUUUAUAGAAGUUUCUACAUCAAAUUAAGCAAGUACAUUAUCCGUUCUUGUCCAAGUUUAUCUUAUUCCUUUCAUCGGAAGUCUGUACAAAUGAGUUUGGACGAAGAGAGUGACAUAAAUUUGCUUGAGAUUUUGAAUUAUUUUCUGCUUUUGGGUUUGCAUGCUAUACUGCUUGAUUAAUGAUUAUUGAGGAAAAUUAGUGGCAAACGUUGGUUGAGAAAGCUCCUGCAUUUACUGUAAUGCACGGUAGUUUAUUGCAAUAUGAUCUGCACGGUAGAAAGCACUCAUAUUUGAUUUGAUUCUGUUCUGUGCUUGCCAAUAGUAAUAACUUGAAAUAUGCUUUUAUCAUGAUUAUAAAGUUUAUUGAUGAUGCUUUGUUUCAGGAUAUGUGUAGAGGCUAUUUGCAAUGUGUUCAAGGCAGAUAGUAGAUUAUAUGGUUAAGCAUCUCACUUAUAUUGGUAAUUUUUAUUUGUUUUAUUUAAAUUAAAAUGGUUUAUGUAUUCUGCUCUAUAGGUGAAUUUGCUCCAAUGAUUCUGCAACCCUCGAGGAGGUGACAUUUCCAUCAAAUGAUUUUACAGUUCGUUUGGUGUCAACAAUGGGUGGCAGUAAACUGCAUUGCUACUAAGUGCGGAUUGUUUCCUCAGCUUCUGUCUGCCAAGGACGUGGUGGAUCCAAAGAAGUUUCUGAUGCAGAGUUAGCUUUGGAAGGAACUUCUUCUGCUCACUGUUUACAUGCUGGUGGUACUCUUGGUGUUUUGCCAACUGGAAAGAAGAUAGUUAGCAUGGGCAUUGUUCAUUCAUCAAUGCCAAAACACAAAAGGCUUAGACAACAAAAAAGAAUGCCCGUUUUUCAAUGGUCUAUUGAAGAAAAAUCAAAGGGGACAAAAGAUAAUACUCCCUCCAUUCCGAUUUACUCGUCGUGGUUUUAGUUUAAAUUUGAACUAAAACCACGACGAGUAAAUCGGAACGGACGGAGUAGUAUUUCUAAAGAGAAUUCUCAAUGCGUAGAGCAGUCCUCUCCAUAUUAACACAUAAAGCCCCAUUCCCUCCCAACACUGGCCGGUGGCGGAGCUUGGCAACGGUGGUGAUGUGGAGGCGAUGACCAUCAUGGAAGAGGGAAAUAUGCUGCUAGAUACUGAUGUUGAUUGCAACGACUCCAUGACAUUGUAACGAGGGGAUACCGCAAUGGACAAGGCAGAAAUCUUGUUUAGAGGGACAAUGCCCACGGGUGACUGCGGUGUGAGCUGGUGUUGUCCUGUCGUGGCAAUAGGGACGCAGAGGCAAGGUGGAGGCCAGAGAUGGCAUGGAGAAAAAUUAUGACGAGCAAAGCAGUGACAUUGUACAGUAACACGGUCAUGUGUGUGGCCUCUGCGCAGCAGCGACAGGUAGCCAUCGGAGCAAGGACAACGGCGCACACACAUGUUUAUGAUGCUGCUCGAGGCCACAGGGCCAACCAGGAUUUGUUAUUCCUUCAAAGUGAUAUGAAAACGAAGAUUCUACUUGUAUAACUAAAGUUUGAUCUUCAGUCCUACUCCCUCCGUCUGGAAUUAGUUGAUGCUCAAAUGGAUGUAUCUAGAUGUAUUUCAAUGCUAGGUACAUCCAUUUGAGCGCCAACUAAUUCCGGACGGAGGAAGUACACAACACAUCCUUUUUAGCGGAAUAAAAGGCCACAACUUCACCACAUAUGAGUGUAACUAAAUCUCAUGUUUCAUGCUCUAACUUUUGUACUAAAUUUUUGUUAGAUACAGGCAGUGGCGGGUGGCGGAAUAGCAAGGCAUCCGGUCAGAUGACAUGGGUCGAUGGGGAGUUGGUGGCUCUUGACUACAACAAAGAUCAUCGAGGCAAUCUAUAUUGUUGCUGCUGUUGUAUUAAGAUAUCAACGAGAAUCCAGAAUAGGCUCUUAAGGGAGCAAGGGUGUUUGGCGCCUGGAGGAGCGUCCGGGUUCAAGGAUCUGGCCCCCGCCAUCGAGAUGUAUGGGGUCGUCGCCGAGUACAUCUGGUUAUGAGAGAGAUGGAUAUGAAUUAUGUUGACGUUCAAAAAGAAACCAUCGACAAGGGACAAUAUUGAUGAAAGGGGCAAAAAAUUAACAAAAUUUUAAGUAUAUAUGUGCAAUCAGAAAAAAAUUAUUUAAAAGGCCUGUAGCAACUCAUGCAAGGUGCUCUCACGGGUGUAGGUUUGUCCAUCGCCAUUUGACUUUAUAACUGUGCAAGACAGUUGACAGCAGAUCGCUUAUGGUAGGACCUAGCUAUUACCAAUGAUUUAUACUAUCAAAUGCAGUGUCAGUGAAUGGUGUUCCUUUAUCAUGGCUGAAGGUUGCACGUCUUCUGCUAGGUUCAUUGAUACUUCUCGGUAUGUACUUGAAUGUUUCUUACCUAAUUUUUUAGUGGCUACUAUUCUUAGUGGACAGAUAUAAAGUUUA
Long non-coding RNA from Triticum dicoccoides, 3874 nucleotides. RefSeq lists it as uncharacterized. The transcript is spliced from 9 exons. Lineage: Eukaryota; Viridiplantae; Streptophyta; Magnoliopsida; Poales; Poaceae. The record is from RefSeq and is a predicted model, not a curated record.